Molecule: long non-coding RNA, 930 nt
Organism: Seriola aureovittata
Lineage: Eukaryota; Metazoa; Chordata; Actinopteri; Carangiformes; Carangidae
Exons: 5
Source: RefSeq, a predicted model, not a curated record
GAGAGAGAGAGAGAGACAGACAGACAGACAUGGGGUGUGUGUGAUGUGCCAUUAAGCAGUUGUAUGAUGGUCAACAUUUCAGUGCUCCUGUAACACAACCAGGCUGUGGCAGUGGGCAAAUGUAGAUGGCUUCUCCAUUCACUGAGCUGGAGGUGCUGACAAUCAUGUUCUCUCUCCUGGUUUUUGCCCUAUUCACACUUACUGGGAUUCUCAAUGAGGAAUGUGCACACUCGAAUGAGACUAACACACAACCACAAAGUGAGAAGCAUAUCGUUUGACUCCAGUGAGGUCCAUGACAAAGAAUGACUUCUGCCAUUCAAAGCAUGACGUGUCAGUAAAAGCUUUGAGGACUCUGUGUGUGUGUAUGAGUGUUAGCAGUUGCCAGAACAAAGUCUAAAUGGUAGCCUCUGGGUGUGUGUGUGUUUACUUUGUUAUAGGAUCCAAUGUUUUUUUUGCUUCCGGGAUGAGGCCUGAGUCAGGAGGCAAGGAGUGGCCUAGAUAUGGGACACUGUAAAAAAAAAAAAAAAAAAAAAAAAAAUCAAUAAAUAAACGCCUACUUUGUCAAACAAACUGUAACAAGACAGUAUCUCGUGCUUGCUUUCUUUCGUCUUUGAGAAUCUGUUUGUAUGUGGAGAUACACACAAAUCCUUUUAUUCUGAUCUUCACAUUUGAAAAAUAGGGAUCUUCAAAUGCUGGGAUUCUUCUUCUGCUUGGCUUCAGUCUGCAUCCAGCCCGAAGGAGCCCAGCCAGAAAAAGGUGUCUAUGAAGCAGAGAGGUCAAGAACAUCUAACAGAAAGCAAAGAGUCAUCACCAAGCAAGCUGGACAGAAACCAUAAAGUCAGAAUUCUUUAUCUGCUGGGUUUUCAUGUACUGUGAACGUCUCACAAUAACGAAAGAGAGAGAAAACAAAAUGAACUGAAAUCUGACACA